AGAAGCUAGCCCCUGAAUCUCGAGUUGACCUAGCAGCUUAUAUUUCCACAGUCCAAAGUAUCCUUUCCCAUCGAACUUCUCCAUCUCGAAACGGCCUCGUGUAGGCUCCAUCGAGAACUGAUCUGUUGCCAUUUCUUCCGCUUCAAAAGAUCAGAUCUCAGAAGCAAUAACUCGUUCUGUAGUCACCUGCUACAUUCACCACUAACCACAGCAA
This 214-nucleotide long non-coding RNA is filed under the name Brassica napus (rape). RNAcentral describes it as "long non-coding RNA (BNAP_LNC002843)". Lineage: Eukaryota; Viridiplantae; Streptophyta; Magnoliopsida; Brassicales; Brassicaceae. The record is from RNAcentral.